UCUUUGCGAGAUCAUCAAUGCGGCGUGU
RNAcentral lists this small RNA (28 nucleotides) under Bombyx mori (domestic silkworm). RNAcentral describes it as "ovarian small RNA-30273". The record is from RNAcentral. Lineage: Eukaryota; Metazoa; Arthropoda; Insecta; Lepidoptera; Bombycidae.